Molecule: long non-coding RNA, 793 nt
Filed under: Triticum aestivum (bread wheat)
Lineage: Eukaryota; Viridiplantae; Streptophyta; Magnoliopsida; Poales; Poaceae
Description: long non-coding RNA (TAES_LNC028363)
Source: RNAcentral
UCAAAUAUGACAACUUACUUUGGAGGGCGUGUAAAAAAAGUGCUAAUCUUCAUUGCAAGAAAACAGUAAUGUUCAAAUAUACAAAAUCUCCCUAACUACAAGAUACAUUAGUUGCAUGUCAUCCUUUCGCAGAACAUCCAACAAAGCACGAAAAACAGAUGAAGGCUUUAGAAGUUGUGUUCCUCCAUAUACUUCAGCAGCAUUUGUACUGAAUGUUGAUUCGAAACAAAAAGCUGAAAAGGAGAAAAUGUACAGUAAUUACAGUUACCCACAUACCUCCAUGUAUCCAUCAUUUAAUAUUUCAUGUGUAUGGUAAUGAACUUCCAUAAAACAAAAAAAUAAAGAGGAAGUCUAUCAAACAAUAAUCAAUUAAAAACAGUGACAAAAUAACAGGGUAUAACCUGAGCUUUCCCUUGGUUAGUUCCUACAGCUAGAACGCUCCAUCUAACUAACUAAAGAAAUGAGUGUCAUCCAAAUCCCAGACCUUACUUCUGUGCUGCAUUUAUUGGCCAAAAUGUUGCCUGCAGCCACUCAGUCAAAAGCAACAAGCUGGGGAUAAGCGCCACUAUGGAUCCUCAAAAAUGCCACAGACCCAAUCUUUAGUUUAGGCUGAGGAUACUUGACGUCCCUUUGUCCGGCACGACUCUGAGCCUUACUCGCCAGACUGUGAUAAAAUAAAUGUGUGCAAAACCAGAAGUUAGAUAGAAAUGAAAUUUCUCAUAUAUUUUUGUAGAAGGAUUCUGCAAGAGGGGAAAUAUAAUCUUGAUGAUAGCGGUCAGACACAUAUUAAGCA